This 743-nucleotide long non-coding RNA is filed under the name Anas platyrhynchos platyrhynchos (common mallard). Its description in RNAcentral is "lncRNA (ENSAPLG00000018260.1)". The record is from RNAcentral. Lineage: Eukaryota; Metazoa; Chordata; Aves; Anseriformes; Anatidae.
UCUUCCAGGUGGGAAAGCAGUGUAGCCUUGAGGAAUCAGAUGCAACACAAAUGAACAGCGUUUAUUUUCAUGUGCAUUUCUACAACUGAAGUACCAUGGGAAACGAGUUCUGUGAUGUGUGUUCAGUGUCUGUAAUACGGCAAGAGACACUAUUUCUCACCACCUUUCCUCACCCUCUUCCUGAUGCAGUGCUGCAGAGCAAGACGGGAUGUGAGACAGGAGGUACUGCAAAAACGAGAGUGAAGGCUCAGCUUCACCUCUCUGGAGAUAAAACCUUACAAGCAGCCACGAUCCCUUCCCCGAGCCUCUCUCUGUCACGAUGACAAGCAGCUCACUGCUGUCAGGCCCGUGUAGGAAAUCCACACAGCGACACGGAGAAUGUUUAUUGUGGAGGGAGAACUUUUGCCCUGUGAAGUCACCUCCUACCAGUCACCAGGUGUGGAGUCCUCACGGGCACAUCACUUUCCUCUGCUCUUCUGCUGGGGUUUCAAUAUGGGAUCACAGUAGCUACCUCAGCAAGCGAGCAAGACAGCAUGAACCUUUAUCUGAGAACUAUUCAGAAGGUGAACACCAGCAUUGUGCCAGCCUGCAGUGGCUGCACCAGGUUAUUGCAACCCCAGAGCACGUAGUCUCCAGACCUACAAGCAAGGGAUUAUAAAGCUGUUUCCAGAGGGUGCCCAUGUGACUGAGAAGCAUAUGCACAGUUUUUAAAAAGUGACUUACUGAGAGAUGAUGGACUCGGC